RNAcentral lists this ribosomal RNA (253 nucleotides) under uncultured bacterium. RNAcentral describes it as "partial 16S ribosomal RNA". It matches the Rfam family "Bacterial small subunit ribosomal RNA", at positions 524 to 776 of the family's 1533-position model. The record is from RNAcentral.
UACGUAGGGGGCAAGCGUUGGCCGGAUUUACUGGGCGUAAAGAGCGUGUAGGCGGCCAAACAGGUCCGUUGUGAAAACUGGAGGCUCAACCUCCAGACGUCGACGGAAACCGUGUGGCUAGAGUCCGGAAGAGGAGAGUGGAAUUCCUGGUGUAGCGGUGAAAUGCGCAGAUAUCAGGAAGAACACCAAUGGCGAAGGCAGCUCUCUGGGACGGUACUGACGCUGAGACGCGAAAGCGUGGGGAGCGAACAGG